UACCCACCCUCUUUCUACACUUUUGUCAUUCAAGACUCUCUCACUAUCUCUCUCUGGUUUUCAUUCUUCUCUCUCUAAACCCCACAAACCCUAACACCUCUCCUCUUUCCAUACCCUUUUCCCUCUCACUCUCAGUCUUCCCUUUUCCCUCACCUUCACUCUCUUUAUGGUCUCCACUCUCUCCCGUCUUCUCUCUUCCGUCAUUUUCCGCCGACAACAACUUUUAUGUUCUCUCCCCCUUCCAUGUUCUCACUUCUCUUUUCUAUUUAGUUUUAAAAUCCUAGCUUUACCUAAAAUAUCUAUGAAAUGGAACACAAAGAGAAACCCCUUCUCAUCCUUCAUAUAAAAUCAUGGAUGGGUAGCGUCGGAGGGUGGUGGACGAAAGAAAAACUUGGUCGGAGGUUAUGCUUAUUAGGGUUUAGUGAAAGAUGAUGGUAGUCCCUGAAAAAUGGGAAGACGAAGGAAAGCAUGACGACGACGUCCUUUGACGAGGGUGAAUAUCUCUAAUCCUUUAUUUCUUCUUCUCUUUUGUUUUAUUUAUUUUUUUCUUCCACAUUUGAUUCUCUAGAUGUGUUUGAAAAUAUAUUUAUUUGUGAAAUGAACAAAGGAUUCUAUUUUGUGUCUUUCUGUUUUGGAUUUAUGUUUAAGUGAUCGCUUUGAUGAAUUUUGAAAAUAAACAAAGUUUAUGUUGGAUUCAGGUGAGUAACUGAGUUUAUUAUGUUUUAAUUCAAGAUUAAUGUUGUAUAAUAAAACAUGAGUUCUUUUAUUCUUUACUAUUUUGUUCAUAUGAAUCCAAUGAAUAGGCUUGAAGCUUUUGAAGUUAACAGCCUUUGUGAGAUAGCUAAAAAUGUUCUAACUGUAUUUCCUUUGACUGGUGCUUUGGCGAUGGUUUUUUAUAAAUGACAUACCAUACAAAGCAUUAAGAGUGCUCCAUUUCAUAUUUGAAGCAAAAUGGCUCAUAAUAAUUGGAUUAAAAGAUCAACUUUAGCUGUUGCAAGCUCCAUAUCAUGCUCUUUAUGGUUCAUACUGCAGAUCGGUGGAUCUGUGCAGAUGAUCAAGUUACAAGUUUUGGCUUGUCUUUUGAGUUUGAUGAUUUGUGGCAAACUCAGUUUUUGGCUGGAAUUGGGGUAAAAUAAUGGCAGUAGCUUUGGAACCUGCCCAAGAGGUCACAACAAAGAAAAGACGAGUAGUUGUGACAUGCUUGGGGGUGGAUACACCACUUGGUCACGAUCCAUAUGUCCUCUACAAAAUCUACUCAAUGGUGUUAGUGGUAUAAGUGAGAUUGAGAAUUUUGAUUGUGCAGAAUUUCCAACAAGGUUUGCUGGCGAAAUAAAGUGUUAUUCAACUGACAGAUGGGUAGCACCAAAGUUUUCAAAGGGAAUGGAAUAUAACUUGCAGAUUACAGACUAAUAUUUUUACUUGCACAUUGUGACUGAAGUGGUUCUUGUACACACAUGAAUGAACCAGAGCUGGUGAAAGUUUGUACUCUUAUGCUCUAACUGGAUAGAAGAUAAACGGAAUUGGAUGAACAAAUCCACGUCGUUACUCGUAACCGAGAACUUGAUGUCUGGAAGCAAACCAUACAAGACCAUAAAACCUAUGUGAUAUAUAAUGGAGAGCCUUUGAUUAAUGACAUGCCAUUGAAAGUCUGUGACAACAAGCUCAAUCUUUUUAUCAAUUCUGGCACUGCUAUAACAACCAUUGACAUCCUAGAUAUUCCACAUCACAAUUUCAAUGUCAAGCCCUCUGGAGAUUUCUUAAAUGGUCAUUUUGAUGUUGAUCACUUAUAUGUGCAGGAAAGUUAAAAUAAUGGAUCAUGUGGAUUUUUUGGAAGUGCAACUACUAUGAACAUGUGUUCCAAGUGCCAUAAAGACAUGAUGCUGAAACAGGAGGAGGCCCAGCUUGCAGCAUCACCCUUGAAAGUAUUAUGAGUGGGUCUACAACUAAAACUGAAAAAGAACCUCUUGCUGCCAGCAUUGAUAUCCUAAGAGAAGUGAUUCACUAAGAACUUUGUUUCAUUAUUCUGUCAUGUAAAAUUUUGUUAACUUUCUCUGAACCAACUUUUCCUCAGUUGUUCUAAAUGAGAAAAACUGUUCAAUGGCAUGUGUUCAUUAUGUUGAUUGACUAUGCUAUUUUAAUUUCAUUUUAGAACAACCUCUCCUCCUCUUAUGCGCGAGUUGAUUCUGUGUUGUUCUAAAAUGUUUUUAACUUUAUCUAACUUUUAUUCAAUUUCUAAUCUGUGUAUACUUUGUUGUAAACAUGGCUUACUAUGGAAUAUUGUUGGUUGAAAUGAUUUGAAAAUGGUUUACUGCUUAAUGCUUUAAACAUGGAUGUUCUUUGACAUAGCAAGCAAUUGAAAUUUUUAUGUAAAUAAGAACUAUAUGUUAAUGUACUCAACUAUUAUCUCAGAGGUUUCAAAAGUGCCUAAUUU
Vicia villosa (hairy vetch) is the source of this 2431-nucleotide long non-coding RNA. RefSeq lists it as uncharacterized. NCBI's taxonomy places the organism in Eukaryota, Viridiplantae, Streptophyta, Magnoliopsida, Fabales, Fabaceae. The record is from RefSeq and is a predicted model, not a curated record. The transcript is spliced from 8 exons.